Non-coding RNA from Chrysemys picta bellii (western painted turtle), 1131 nucleotides. The record is from RefSeq and is a predicted model, not a curated record. Lineage: Eukaryota; Metazoa; Chordata; Testudines; Emydidae.
CCUUAGCAGCAAUGACUGUCCAGUGGAAGGCAGGGAGUGGGAACCUGGAGCAGGGCCAUGGGAAACGAGAACCAAACACAACCCUGCUGCCCCACAAGCUGACCAGCCCUACAAGUUAUUCCUGGUGGCGGCUGAUUUUUCCCAUCUGUUGCUGAAUUUUCAGAAGAAAACCAUCACCUUGCCGAGAGAAAUACCCGCGAUCAAAGCGCUCAGGAACACAGCGCAGGCAGAUCUUUGCUGAAUGCCCGGGCUUCUGACUUUGCAAAUAGUUUGCCUUUUUCGUAUGAACAAAAAAAAGUGAGGCAAAACUUUCCAAGAGCGAGACUGAACGAAUCGGGAUGAAAGAUAACAGUUGUAACUGCAGGCUGCGAUCCGACCUGUUCUGCAGCACUAGCUGCCGCUUUACCAUCUCCCAGUGCAUUUUGUUGCGCUGCAGUUUAAAUUUAGUGCUUAAGCAUUUGCGGGCGUUUCGCUUCUUUCUUCCGCUUCUGAUCAUUAUAUAUUAAGUGAACAUCAGCUGCCCUUUAAACUGAUCAGCUCGUCUCUUUGCCUACCGUCUUUUAACCAAACGUUUGGCUAGUACAGUAUUUACAAACAAGCCCGGCACGAAAUAGCAUCGGAGUUCCUGUAACUGUAAAAGUUUUGUAAAGCUGGAAAAAUGUAUUCUAUUCCACGGGGAUGCGCGGGUUUGGUUAAUUGUGAGCGCGUUAUCUUGGCUUAAUGUGACCUUGUCAGCCUGUUUUUUUAUAUAUAUAUAAAUCAGAAAGGAGUUGCUCAAGGCAUUCUGAAGUUUGGAUGAUUAUGUAUUAGUAACUGUUAUUCAUAGUAAAUAUGCUUCGUUCGCUUUUUCUCAGCAACGAAUUUGUUUUUAUAUAAUCUGCUUUAAAAAUUGGAUGUUAGGAAUAUUCAUUCUGUUGAACUCAUGGCAGAUUUAGGCAUCUGCACGAAAAGAGGUCGAAGGGGCUACCAACCUCUCUCCAGUUCAGUCAUCAGUCUAUGCUCUGACUUCUAAAAAUCAGAAAUAAAUCUAAUUCUUCUUAAAUUCUAGCUCUUUAUCUGUCUGGGUUAAAACAAAACCACCCGCUGUAUAAAUGAUGGGGAGACGUAUACAAUUCUCCAGCUGGAACUGUU